CUUGGGUUUUCCUGAGAGUAUG
Molecule: ribosomal RNA, 22 nt
Filed under: Symbiodinium sp. Two0410-5
Lineage: Eukaryota; Dinophyceae; Suessiales; Symbiodiniaceae
Description: partial 5.8S ribosomal RNA
Source: RNAcentral